AGUGAACGCUGGCGGUAGGCCUAACACAUGCAAGUCGAACGGCAGCACAGUAAGAGCUUGCUCUUACGGGUGGCGAGUGGCGGACGGGUGAGGAAUACAUCGGAAUCUACUUUUUCGUGGGGGAUAACGUAGGGAAACUUACGCUAAUACCGCAUACGACCUACGGGUGAAAGCAGGGGAUCUUCGGACCUUGCGCGAUUGAAUGAGCCGAUGUCGGAUUAGCUAGUUGGCGGGGUAAAGGCCCACCAAGGCGACGAUCCGUAGCUGGUCUGAGAGGAUGAUCAGCCACACUGGAACUGAGACACGGUCCAGACUCCUACGGGAGGCAGCAGUGGGGAAUAUUGGACAUUGGGCGCAAGCCUGAUCCAGCCAUACCGCGUGGGUGAAGAAGGCCUUCGGGUUGUAAAGCCCUUUUGUCGGGAAAGAAAAGCAGCAGGUUAAUACCCCGCUGUUCUGACGGUACCCAAAGAAUAAGCACCGGCUAACUUCGUG
RNAcentral lists this ribosomal RNA (492 nucleotides) under uncultured bacterium. Its description in RNAcentral is "partial 16S ribosomal RNA". It matches the Rfam family "Bacterial small subunit ribosomal RNA", at positions 29 to 507 of the family's 1533-position model. The record is from RNAcentral.